RNAcentral lists this ribosomal RNA (497 nucleotides) under uncultured bacterium. RNAcentral describes it as "partial 16S ribosomal RNA". It matches the Rfam family "Bacterial small subunit ribosomal RNA", at positions 28 to 507 of the family's 1533-position model. The record is from RNAcentral.
GAUGAACGCUGGCGGCGUGCCUAAUACAUGCAAGUCGAGCGAACGGACGAGAAGCUUGCUUCUCUGAUGUUAGCGGCGGACGGGUGAGUAACACGUGGAUAACCUACCUAUAAGACUGGGAUAACUUCGGGAAACCGGAGCUAAUACCGGAUAAUAUUUUGAACCGCAUGGUUCAAAAGUGAAAGACGGUCUUGCUGUCACUUAUAGAUGGAUCCGCGCUGCAUUAGCUAGUUGGUAAGGUAACGGCUUACCAAGGCAACGAUGCAUAGCCGCCCUGAGAGGGUGAUUCGCCACCCUGGAACUGAGACUGGUCCCAGACUCCUGCGGGAGGAAGCAGUACGGAAUCUUACGCAAUGGGCGAAUGCCUGACGGAGCAACGCCGCGUGAGUGAUGAAGGUCUUCGGCUCGUAAAACUCUGUUAUUAGGAAAGAACAUAUGUGUAAGUACCUGUGCACAUCUUGACGGUACCUAAUCAGAAAGCCCCGGCUAACUACGUG